This 616-nucleotide ribosomal RNA is filed under the name uncultured bacterium. RNAcentral's name for it is "bacterial SSU rRNA". It matches the Rfam family "Bacterial small subunit ribosomal RNA", at positions 338 to 944 of the family's 1533-position model. The record is from RNAcentral.
CCUACGGGAGGCAGCAGUGGGGAAUAUUGCGCAAUGGGGGAAACCCUGACGCAGCAACGCCGCGUGAGUGAGGAAGGACUUCGGUCUGUAAAGCUCUGUUAAUGAGGAAAAAUGGUAGUUGGUCUAAUAGGCCGAUUAUUUGAUGGUACUCAUAGAGGAAGCACCGGCUAACUUCGUGCCAGCAGCCGCGGUAAUACGAAGGGUGCAAGCGUUGUUCGGAUUUAUUGGGCGUAAAGCGCGCGUAGGCGGACCUGCAAGUAAGAUGUGAAAUCUCGAGGCUCAACCUCGAAACUGCGUCUUAAACUACAGGUCUAGAAUCUCGGAGGGGGAAGGGGAAUUUCGCAUGUAGGGGUAAAAUCCGUAGAUAUGCGAAGGAACACCAGAGGCGAAGGCGCCUUCCUGGACGAGUAUUGACGCUGAGGCGCGAAAGCGUGGGGAUCAAACAGGAUUAGAUACCCUGGUAGUCCACGCUGUAAACGAUGAACACUAGGUAUUGGAGGAUUUGACCCCUUCAGUGCCGUAGCUAACGCGUUAAGUGUUCCGCCUGGGAAGUACGGUCGCAAGCUAAAACUCAAAUGAUGAGNGNGAGAGNGCGACGACGACGACGAGGAGGAGG